RNAcentral lists this long non-coding RNA (2054 nucleotides) under Pan troglodytes (chimpanzee). RNAcentral describes it as "long non-coding RNA NONPTRT009598". The record is from RNAcentral. Lineage: Eukaryota; Metazoa; Chordata; Mammalia; Primates; Hominidae.
GGCCUCCAGAUAUGCAGGGUACACUUGCUCAGCUGUUCCAGUCAAACUUGGAAGGAUUAACUCCGGCUGUCUGCAAAAAGGUGGGGGUGGAAAGGUCUUUUCAGAAAAGCCAGUUGCUUUUCUCCUUUUAGGGAGCUGCUAUACCCACCCUGCCAUUAUAUACAAAUACACAUGUGCACACAUAUUUCUAUAACAGAUAUUAAAAGCAGUAACAAAUAUGGACAGGUGUUAGGUUUGUCUGACAAAGCACAAUAGGUUCAAGAGUUGGCUUUCAGAGCCUAAAUGGCCCAUCAAAAAUCAGAAAACUGCUAAGUAAUCCUUAGAAAAAGGACACAGAGUGAGCAGAAAGUGAAAAUAAAUGUUUAUUAAAAGACAAACCAGUUGUAACUAUUGAUCCUACGAAAUCUUCUAUUUGGAACAAGCAUUCAAAAUUUCAAAAUGGUAAAUAAUUCUAAAUAAGUUUCAGGGGCUAUGACGUCCCUAAUCGUGGAGAGCCAGUAAUAUUGUAACAUGCUUUUGGAUGAUUAAACCAUGAGGAUUAAAUGCAACUGUGAGGGCAUCUGUGAGAAUUUAAGUAUUACCAUGCCCUCCAUGCCCCGCCCCCAUCAGUGUAAUUCUUCUCCUUUUAUGGUCACUGUAAUUUAUUUUAGGAUUGUUCAGAAGAAACAGAUUUUUAAGAGUCAAAAUGGCUAUAGCAUAUUUUGAUGGUAUUCUUGGUUAAACAUUUACCUGAACUCAGUUCUAACAGAUUAGGAGGACCACUAUACUCGAUUAUCUUAAAUUUGCUGGUACUGAUUCUAUGUGCAUUACACAUGAAGAACAAGAAUAAAUCUAUUCAGUAUAAUUAAUAAAACAUUUAUUGAACAUCUAUUGCAGACAAAAUAUUGUACUAAGCCCUGGAGAAAUGAACACAGUUCUGUUGUCAAUGAAUUUACAGUUUAUGGGAGAAAUAGAUAAGGACACAGGCAAAGCCAAAAAGCAAAACAAUGCUACAGCACAAAACUAAAUGUUGUAAGCAACUUCUCAUACAUGGAAAAACAUUUUUUAAAAAUUACUCUUGGCCGGGUGGUGUGGCUCACACCUGUAAUCCCAACACUUUGGGAGGCUGAGGCAGAGGGAUCACUUGAGGUCAGGAGUUCGAGACCAGCCUGGCUAACAUGGCAAAACCCUGUCUCUAUUAAAAAUACAAAAAUUAGCUGGGCGUGGUGGCAUGCACCCUGUAAUCCCAGCUACUUGGGAGGCUGAGGCAGGAGAAUUGCUUGAACCCAGGAGGCGAAGGCUCACCACCGCAGCCGAGAUCACGCCACUGCACUCCAGCCUGGGCAACAGAGCAAAACUCCAUCUCAAAAAAAAAAAAAAAAGUUGCUCUUAAUACACAGUUUUAUAGUCUCUCUCACCAUUAGAAUUAUAAAACCCUACUUUGUCAAUUCUUAACAGAGAUUAUCAAAGCCUCAUAACAUUUCAGAUGUGCUUUGCCAUACCUUAAGGGAUUAUAAUAUACAGUCAGCCCUCCUUAUCCUUGGGUUACACAUUUGUGAAUUCAACCAACUGCAAACAAAAUAUUUGUGAAAAGCAAUAAAAAAAACCCAAUACUGUACAAUAACAAAAAUAUAAUACAAAUUUUAAAGACAAUAGUUAUAAUAAUUAUUUACAUAGCAUUUACAUUGUUUUGGAAAUAUUAUGUUGUUUAAUAAUGUGUUAUAGUUCUAUAUUUGUAAAUGAAAUUAUAUAGGGGUAUGCAUGCAUGUAUGAAUCUAUGUGUACAUCAAUCAAUAAAUUAUGUAUGUAAUUAGACUUUGAAAAGCAGUGCUCCAAAUAAAAUGAAAAAACUAAAAAAUUUAUUGUGUAAUUAGUUAAGCUUUUAUUAAGUCACAUAUAAGUUAGACAUGUAUGUAUAUGUAUACACAUAUACGUAAUGUAUUGGUUGACAUACACACCAAUAUAUGCCAUAUGUAUACACAUUAUAUAUACACAUACCAUUAUAUGCCAUACAUAUACAUAUAUAUACACACGUGUGUGUGUGUGUGUGUGUGUGUGUGUGUGUGUGUGUAGCC